GAGAAGAAUACAAGAAUCAAAGACUCACUCGUUAACACUUUCAGGAGCCCCAUAAAAACACUAAACUGUAUAUAUGCGGAAGAUGCGGAAGACUUGGUGCAGACCCAGAAAGCUUCUGAAAACCUUGAUGGAGACAGUCAUGUGCCCUUGGUAUCAGGACUUGCAGCAGCACCGUGGUCCUUUAUUUAUAGCAUCUGCUACGGUUUAAUAACAUCUGCAUGAUGUAAGGGCUUGGCAGAGACAGCUUGCGUCUGCCAUACCCGAGUCACCUGGCAUCACCUCCAGGCUCAAGGU
Molecule: long non-coding RNA, 294 nt
Organism: Mus musculus (house mouse)
Lineage: Eukaryota; Metazoa; Chordata; Mammalia; Rodentia; Muridae
Product: predicted gene, 32022
Exons: 3
Source: RefSeq, a predicted model, not a curated record